Molecule: ribosomal RNA, 253 nt
Filed under: uncultured microorganism
Description: partial 16S ribosomal RNA
Rfam family: Bacterial small subunit ribosomal RNA
Source: RNAcentral
UACGUAGGGUGCGAGCGUUAAUCGGAUUUACUGGGCGUAAAGCGUGCGCAGGCGGCCCGUUAAGACAGAUGUGAAAUCCCUGGGCUCAACCUAGGAAUUGCGCUUGUGACUGGCGGGCUCGAGUACGGUAGAGGGGGGUGGAAUUCCUGGUGUAGCAGUGAAAUGCGUAGAUAUCGGGAGGAACACCGAUGGCGAAGGCAGCCCCCUGGGCCUGUACUGACGCUCAUGCACGAAAGCGUGGGGAGCAAACAGG